Taeniopygia guttata (zebra finch) is the source of this 5051-nucleotide non-coding RNA. Lineage: Eukaryota; Metazoa; Chordata; Aves; Passeriformes; Estrildidae. The record is from RefSeq and is a predicted model, not a curated record.
GAACCUCAGCAAGGACAAUGCACAGCAGCGACACAGCGCAGGGGAUUCCUCUGCCAGUGUGCAGGAGUCAGGACUCUGGAUCUGGGCUCAACACUGCAAAGUUCCCGUGUUUGGACAGAUGAAGGAGCUGUCCCCGGGGCGCGCGGGGCUCGGCCGUGGGGCGAGCGGGGAACGGACACGCGGACAAACGGCCUCGGUGCUUCAGUUGCAGAGGCAGCAGCGGCGGCGGCGGCAGCAGCGGCGGCAGCAGCGGCAGCAAAAGCAGUUUUUCUCUUCUUUCUCUUUCUCUUCUUUCUCUUCUUUCUCUCCCGCUGUCCUCUCGGUGUCCCUUACCCGCUGUCCCUCCCCUCUCCCCGCCUCCUUCUCCCCCAUGCCGGGCCGGGCCAUGCCCCCGGCCCGCCCCCGGCCCCGGGCGGGGCUGCCCCGUCCCCGUCCCCGCCCGCCCCGCCGCGGUCUCGCCUCCGCCCGGCUCUGGCUGUGCUGGCGGUGGCGCUGCUGGGCGGGCAUCAGUGCCUGGGGCUGGGCCCUUUGGCUCCGCCUGGCCCGAGCCCGGCCCCGGCCCCGGCGCAGGCUCCGGCCCCGGCCCCGGCCCCGGCCCCGGCUCCUCCCGGGCCCCGCGGAGGACACACGCGGCACGGCCGCUGCCGCCUCCGCCGCGGCUUCCCCGGCCCGAGCUCCGCCGCUGCUCAGCAGCGCGGCCGCCGGCCCCGAGCCUCCCGUGUCCCGUUCCCGAGACCGAAGGCCUGGGGAUGGCCGGCCCGAGGCGGUUGAGGGGCGCUCGGGGGCCGCUCCUGGCCCCGGGCCGAGCGCUGACAGCCGCGUCCCGCCCGCAGGGAAGGCGCAGGAGGCGCUGCAGCAGCGGUACCGAGUGGGUUCGCUGCUGGGGCGCGGCGGCUUCGGCAGCGUCUUCGCAGCCACGCGGCUCUCGGACGGUGCCCCGGUGGCCAUCAAAAGGGUGCCACGGAACCGCAUCCGGCACUGGGACGAGCUGCCCGACGGCACCAGCGCACCCCUGGAGAUCGUCCUGCUGGACAAGGUGUCCACUGGCUACCCUGGUGUGGUCCAGCUGCUGGAGUGGCUUGAGCUCCCCAACAACAUCGUGAUGGUGCUGGAGCGGCCGGAGCGGUCUCAGGACCUCCUGCAUUUCAUUCGGGCACGGAGGUUCCUUUCUGAAGAGGUGGCACGGCAGCUGUUCCGCCAGGUGCUGGAGGCCGUGCGGCACUGCACCAGCCGAGGGGUCCUGCACCGCGACAUCAAACCAGAGAACAUCCUGGUUGACCUGGCCACUGGCCAGGCAAAGUUGAUCGACUUUGGCUGUGGCACCUACCUGCAAGACACAGCCUACACUCACUUUGCAGGAACACUGUCAUACAGCCCCCCGGAAUGGACCCACUUGGGCUGGUACUACGGAGAGGCAGCAACGAUCUGGUCCCUGGGCAUCCUGCUGCACCAGAUGGUCUGCGGGCAGCACCCUUUCAGGAGGGGCCGGAAGAUCAGCUGGGACCAUCAGCUCUCGCUGCCACAGCGGCUCUCUCCAGAGUGCCAAGAUCUUAUCAGGUGGUGUUUAUCCAUGCACUUCUUGGACAGACCUUCAUUAGAAGACCUGUUCUGUGAACCUUGGAUACAGGAUAUUCACCUGCCAUAGAAGAAGGGAGAGAGCCACAUGCACACUUUGCUCCAGGGCCCUGGGAAGGAGAAGGAGCCCCUGGAGAAGCUGUACCAGCUGGGGCUGCUGCUGCUGGAGACAGUGAGGAUGACAUCAAGGAUGACAACCUCUUCCUCAACCUGGCCACUGGCAGCUGAAGAUGAUGGACUUCUGGCACUGUCUUCAAAGCCUGGCUCCACAGCGAAUUCGCAGAUGAGUCCACAGCCGGGGAAAUGCUCCCAGAUUUGGGCAUUGCUCAGCCUGGCUGGGAACAAAAGGUUCUCCCUUUGCUGGGGCAGAUGCAACUUCAGUCGCUGCCCAGCUGCUUUUUGGCAGGGCUGGGGGCAUGGGCUGGGGUGGAUACAAGAUGGGAGUUGGCUCCUGGCCCUGCCAACAGCCCCCAGCACCCAGCAUGGCCUGGGCUGGGGCUGGGGCUGGGGCUGGGGCAGCCAGCCCGGCACAGAGAAACCCCCAUGGCGGGAGCAGAGGUGGGACUCCAGAACCUGUGCAGGGGCUGCUUUGCUUUGCAGGCAAGGAAGGGCUUGGGCUGCUCCACUGCCCUUGUUUGCUUUGGGAUCACUGUUAUUUUGGGGGGCAGUGUAGGAGGGAAGAGAGAAAGUGUGGGCUUCUCUCCCCUUUGGGUGGGAUUUUCCCUAGCAUGUAGGGGUUGGGCCUUCCUCAGGCCCUUGACAGAGAUAAAGAGUUUUUUUCUUGUUUCCCUUUGUCUCUAAUCUCUUUUCAACAGUUUGUUGUUUGUUUUUCUAGAGGAAGCGUUCUAUGUAAGGUCCAGUCGGGAUUGGGAAGUGCCUGGGAGCAGCUGCAGCGUGGAUGGGCCGUGCCCUUGGAGAAGGCUGAGGACAUCGUUUGGGACCAGCUUUUCUCCCAGCGGAGGAUGGCGUGAGCCGGGCUCUGCGGGUGCUGAGGCUGCUCUGGGCUCUGCCAGGGCUCUGCUGGGCUCUGCCCCGGGCACAGCUGGGCUGGCUCUGCCCUCACAUUGCUCUGACAGCUUUGCAUCAGACGAGCCCGUUGGAGCACAGUGCCUGAGCUUUCUGCUUUGGCAGGAACGCCUGGAUCUCCACUAUUCAUUCUUCAUUUCUUUUUGGCUGGAAUCGUGCAGUUGCACUUUCUUCCUCCUCUAGACGUGCCACGAGUGGCCAAAGCUGGCAAGUGAGCCGUGUUCCUGAGGCAGUGCAGUCUGGAGCUGAUGGAUGGAGAAUUGCCCUUCCCACUUCCAAACCAGAGCAAAAAGCCAGGUCCUGGCCCUCUUCCAGCCAAAGGGGAAAGGGCCCCACCAAGCCUUGUUACCCACAGACAACAUGAUAAAGCUGAACAAUAAAGGACCUUGGAGCAUUAUACUGUAAUUAAAAAGGUGCCAGCUCCAUGGACAACAGAAUUAUUGUUCCUAACUUGAAUGAGAUUGAGCAAAAAGAAUGAAGAACGGUGUCACUAAAGUACUACUGACGUUUGCCAAAACACUUCCAGAGUUUCACCAAGAGAUCAGUCAUCAAAAUGUUUUGGAAAUUUAAAGACCAAGGUAGCCAAAGCACUCAGUGUCACUAAUUGCUGGGUAUGUUCUCAGCUGAAGUUGGGAGGAAUGGGGUUCCCUUGGAGGGCCCACCCUGUGGGGUGGCCAGAACUCUGUCAAUGGGCUCUGCCUCGUAACGGAGUCAAUGAAGGGACAGUUACAGAAACCUGUGCUGUGGGACACGGGAAUACAAUGAUCCGUGUGACAGGAUUCACUCAGAUUUCCCGUCAGGAGAAACCAAACCCUGUUACAGUUAUAGAGGCUACAGUGUCAGAAGAUUUCUGUGCUUUACCAUCACUCCCAAUGUCAAUAGAACUUGGGGUGCUGCAGCUGGUCAGUGUCAGUGUCUCACCACUCCCAGCUGCAGGGCCCCCAUUUAGGGUCCUUCAGCAACGACCACACUGAAGAGUUAGGGCCCAGAGAACAUUUUCCACCCAAAGAGUGCCUUGGGUUUCAGAAAGUAAAAGAUUCUGGUUCACCCUGUGCCCCAUGUGCGCUGCCCCGUCCCGUGGAGUUUACAUGAAUGAGCUGACGGGAUUAUUAGAAGAGGUAGUAAAUGAUACUGUUAAAAUGUCCAAUAGCACAUUGGAUUAUUAGAAGAGGUAGCAAAUGAUACUGUUAAAAUGUCCAAUAGCACAUCCUAUGAGCUCCAACAAACACAAAUGGGGACUCCAGAGAACCGCAUGGCCUUGGAUUAUCUGCUUGCUGGCCAAGGAGGAACCUGGGCUAUCAGGAGACGGGGAUGUUGCACUGCUAGCAGUGAUGGGUUUGAAGGCCAACAGUCAGGAAUCACCUUGACAGAAAGAGCAGUAGAAGAGUGGCAGAAAGAAGAAAAUUCUUCUUGGUGGGAUUGGCUUCGUGGCUGCCAAAUUAGAGGCUGCUGUGAAAUGCAUUCGUGGCAGUGCCUGUCAUCAUUGCAGUGUGUGCACUUGGUGAGUUGCUGUGACACUUUGUGCUGGGAAGUGGAGUAUUGGGACCUUUCUUAAAAGAGACAGUCUCAAGAAAAGAGAGGCAUUUGAUAAAUAACAGAGAAUAGAAACUAUUAAGGCAUGUUUUAAAAGGAACGUGAAUAGCUCUGAGUAAUGAACUUAAACUGCACUUAAUUGUAGAACAAGAGGAGAUGCCUUUAUGCCUAAUACCUAAAUCUAAGCUGUGUUACUGAAAGAAUUGUUACAAAGGUUGUAGUUGAUUGUAGGUCUCAGGACCGAUCAAAGUACCAAGGCCUGAACAGGUUGUGAUCAAGGCCUGAACAGGCCCUGAGGCAAAGCUCACCUCUAGAUGAACCUCCCAAGCAAAUGUUGUAUUUGUAUCCACUCACUAACGAAGCAUGAUUAACAACAUGAUCAAUGUAUGUGUUCCUUGAUAAAACAUGGAUUUAUAUUUCUGUAUUUAGAAACAGACAAGGCCCCACCUGGCCUUGUUUGGGGGUGAAGGAUCAAAGUCAACUCCCUUGGUUCCUCCUUCAGCCCUGGCCAGGCUUUGGGAGAAAGCAGUCAGGAGAAUGAAAGCAGAUGUUCUCGCAGUGGCAGUGAUGCCAGCUUGUUUGUUUAACAGUGUAAAAGCUGGGUCCUCUCACAGCUUUGGGCUUGGAGCCUCAUUGCUUGCAGAGGUGGAGGCACCUGCAGGAAUUCCCAGUGUCUGGGAGUGGCUCUCCAGUCCUUGGCUUCCCCCAGCUGAUGUGUGGCUGUGGAUGAUGGUAAAGCCUGAGGCUAACUGGUGAUGGAUCUUUCCUUAAUCACUCCAGGCAAUCUCUGGUAGCAAUGACUGGAUGCAUUGCUGAGCUUCUUUUGUAAUGCUUUGCUAAUGAUGAUGUGCUUUGCUGAGCUUAUCCUUUUGUAAUUCUUUGCAGCUGUGCAUGAUAUAAAUGACACAAUUCCUUCA